AGGAAAAACACAUAUUAUCUUAGACUGCAAUCUAGUGUGAGGAUGAGAUGGUAUUUUAAUAGGGCUGCAUUUAUCAACUGUAACAAGGGAGGGAAUGUGCUCCAACCCAGCGCGCCUUGUGGGCAAUGCAAGCAAGAGUCAGCGAGUGCGACCGCCGGAGGAGUGCGGCGAUGGGAGGAAGGCAGACGGACAGACAGCCUGCUGGGAACGAGGGCGGUCUGCAGGUGAUCUCGCAGGGGAGGGUGCGGCACCCACUGCCCAUCUUAGCGGGAUCCCAUCCCCUCGCUCCACCAUCCUCAAUGCUCCUGGAAACCUGAAUUUCUGACUUGACUUGCGAUGGGAUUUGCAUGUCUAGCCAGUGACACUACUAUUUUCAGAAGUAAUUACAUUUUUAAUUACGCUUUUUAAUAGCUGGUAGCUGCUGCUUUGCAGUUUUGUUCCUGUCCCUCUUGGACGCACCUUGGAGCAACACCAGGAGCCUCCACUUCCCUUCCAGUGAGAUGUGAGAGUGUGAACACACAGCGAGAAAGGGGAGAACGCGUGUGUCAAUGCGUGCAACUGAUCUCGCAGCCACAUAUCACAGCUGGAGACUGAAACCAGAGCUGGGCAGUGCAUCUCAGAGCCACGGGAACAGCCCCUCAGCAUUUCCCAACACAAGUCUGGAGAAAGAAUGAGGAAGACAGAAGGGCCCAGAUCUGCAGCGUGCAGACAGAGCUGGUCCUAGGAAAAGCACACCAGCUUUCCUCUAAAUCAGGCGUUUGGGCUGAGCGCUUGUGAUUGUAGGAGAAAGGGAAAGUGAUCAUAUAAAAGCAGCCACAGGAGAGGUGAAAUAAACUCUUCAAAGAGGGCUCGUGCUGGUGCAGAUUCUGCAUUGAAAAUCCAGAGUCAGAGAAUUCUCUGUGACGUUGGGCAAGGCGCUGCAUCUCUUACCAGCUCAGACUGCCAGUUGGUCACCGAGACACACCAACCUCCGCACUGCUCCUGUCCAUGGAAACAGACAGAGGUGUGGAAGAAUGAGGGUAUAUCUUUUCUAGAGAUCCAAAAGAAGGAGAGCUCUAAAUACAACAGAAAGGAAUUAGAAGGCAGCUCAUUUUGAUCCAGGCAGAUCCUUCAACCUUUUGAAAUUUAAAGGAUCCCUGACUUUCCUGAAGCAGUCUCAAGACUCCCAUGCACCCAUGUGCAGAGAAAAUAAAAGUCCCUCUGCGCCGCCUGCUCAUUAAUUUGCUUUUCUUUUCUCAUCAUUUGUUUGCUAGCUUGUCUGCUUGGGAAGAUGGCAUGGGUUUCUAUGAUUUUCCAGUCAUUGCCUAACCCACCUGUUGUAGGGCCCAGCAGCGCUUAAUGGCACUGAGCACCACGGAGCUGCAAUGCCCAUAAGCAUGUCUGUUCCCAGUCCCUUUGGAGUCACUCCCUCACAGACACCCUUUCAUCAGCAGAUUUCAGGUGUGCAGCAAACCCUGGGCGCAUGGAGCACAGCAUACUGGAGCACUGCUGGCUGCACACCCCAGCACGCACCGGUGCGUGUCCCUGUCCAGCCAGCUACAAACAGCAGCACAGAGUGGCUGUGAUUUGGCAUCUCAUUACCACAAUGACUUCGGGAGUUCAGCUAUCUGGAGAAGAGCUAGGGAGGAUGUGGAGACCUACGGCCAGGACACAGCACCUAGCAAAAAAGGAUCAGCCUGAAGGGAAGAGAAGAGUGAUUUCCCUCUCUUGCUCUUGCAGACCUGCUGCAGCCCUGCAACUGGAUUCUCCAGCACACCCCAUGUUGCUCCCUGGCACCCAGAGAAUCAGCUGGAUUUUGCACCAUAGGAAAGCUCUGCAAACACUGUAGUUGUUACCAACACAGACACACAUUCCCACAAAUACCACUCUCAUGCUAGAUACAUCCAACCAAGCAGCCAAAUGGUUUAAAGCCAAGCAGUGGUCUCAGAGCCAGUAAACUACAGCCCUUGGAAAUCCCUAAGAACUCCAGAGGCAGAGUGCCCACUGCUCUGCACUGUCCCAUGGCUGCUGCAGUUUCCUACCUAUGAGUGGUGUUGGUUUUGCAGACAGUGCCACAUCUGAACCUGUCAGGCUGCAACAAAUGCAUCUCAGACCCAAGAGCCAGAAGCUUUGGAUGCGGUACCUCCAGAGUGCAGCCCUCCAGGAGAUCUUGGUGACAUCCAGAGCAGAAGGACCUGGUGCUGUACCUGGAAUUACCAGUCUCAGCCCAUGGGAGUGAAGUUCGGAACGUCUGAGGCACAUCUCCUCUUCCAAAUCUUGGAAAUUCUCCCACUGUGGUUUCCCAAACCUCGGUGUUGACAUGUCUUGUUGGGCCUUAUGACACAGAAGUUGGACUGGGUCUGUACUGGAUCCCACUUUUGCCCUGAGUCUAUUAGCAUAACAUUUUAGUCCCUCUCGCUCUUCCAAACUGACACACAGUACUGCUGAAGUUCCUAAAAAUCUGGGAUUCUGCUUUUCUUGGAAAUCAAUGGACUUUGCUGGAGACCGGGUGAUAGAACACACAGCUGGUGGAAUGGACAGCCAAAGAUCACUAUUUUCCUUUUAAGCAAAUCAAUGUGUUAAUUGGGAUUCUGGUGGGAUUCUGAAGCUGCUAAUGGAGGUUUUCCAGCUUUCUAACCCGGCUUAGAAAGAAAUGAUGCAAUCCUUGGAAAGUUACUAUUGAUUUGAGCCUCAUGAAGUUGGUGGCCAAGCGUCAUCGGGUCAGAUGAGAUCAGGUCUUCCCCAGACACCCAUAUGACUGUAGACACAGCUCCAUCUCCUACUGCAACUUGGAAUUCUUUUAUGGGUAAAGAUGCAGAGUUUCACAGAGAUGCUAGGAAAAAUCUAGAAAAAUCUCGAUUUCUUGUGAGCUCAUCCGUUUGUACGUGACUGAGAAGUUCUGAGCCCACCUGCGAUCAGGCAGUGGGUCACUCAGCUGCACGGCAUGAAGACUGAGCAGGUUCAUCACAGCCCUCAGCCUGCCCUCGAGCCCAGCAGCCAGGACUGCUUUAUUCUCAGUGUAAUAAAACCAGAUUCGCACUGAAAGAGAGAGAUGAAGUUUCCCUUGGAGACCAGGCGGAGACCAGGUGGCGGAGUGGAUCCUUCUGUGGUUGUACUGAAGAGUUUCUUAUGAAAGGGAAGGAGCUGUUUGCAGAACUGCCCUGGAAAAUGGUGGUUUAACCUCUUAGGGCACAUUCAGAAAGAAGUAUAUAUAUUUUUUUCUUCUGUUUGUUUAAUGAAAAAGUAAAUGAAAAAUAAAGUUAGAAGUGAAUCAUUUAGAGUGAGUAAAAUAUGUCACUUAGUUUGAAGUAGAAAGUAUCCCCUCACUUGUCAGCAUUCAGAAAACAAAUGCGGUACAUUUCAGAAUGGUGCACUGUUUCAUGUACAAAUGGUAGAAGAGAACGCUUUGAUUUGCUUAAAUUUUAAGAACGGAACGACUUGUUAAGUUGAACAUGAACUCAUAAAAUGUUUCAGUUGACCCAAAUCUGUUUUCUUCAGAGCAUGAUGUUUUAUCCACAUCUCUCCCAGCACUAGCAGUACGUCCCAGAAAUGUUCUGUACAGCAUCAGAAUAGGGCCCCAGCCUUUCUUAAGCACCUGUGAGCCCUGCUCAGAGGCUUUG
Molecule: long non-coding RNA, 3599 nt
Organism: Gallus gallus (chicken)
Lineage: Eukaryota; Metazoa; Chordata; Aves; Galliformes; Phasianidae
Source: Ensembl